This 65-nucleotide transfer RNA is filed under the name Augilodes binghami. Its description in RNAcentral is "tRNA-Trp". Lineage: Eukaryota; Metazoa; Arthropoda; Insecta; Hemiptera; Caliscelidae. The record is from RNAcentral.
GAGGAUUUAAGUUAAAAAAACUAUUAACCUUCAAAGUUGAAAUUAUACCCAAUUUGUAAGCCUUA